GAUAAUUAAAAACACAGAUAGAAGGUUUUUCCGGGUAGAAACUUAGGGUUCAAGGGCCUCUCGAAUAAGAAAUUAAAUUAAUGAAAAAUUGAGAUAGAAUAUUUCUUUACGUAAAUGUUUUUUGAUAAAAUGUAUAAAAUAAUAAUUGUAAUGAAAAGAACGACCAUAGUCUGUGCAUCGAAUCUGAGGCCAUACCAGAAGUCAGCACCAGAGACCGGUGCGCUACUGACUCGGUUGCUCGGCGUUCUAACAUGUUCGCACACUUUUUUGUUAUAUAACAGUUGUGAGGGCUUUGAAUCCAUUUUUUUUUUCGGAGUUGGCU
Molecule: long non-coding RNA, 322 nt
Filed under: Androctonus crassicauda
Lineage: Eukaryota; Metazoa; Arthropoda; Arachnida; Scorpiones; Buthidae
Source: RNAcentral